UACAGAGGGUGCGAGCGUUAAUCGGAAUUACUGGGCGUAAAGCGUGCGCAGGCGGUCUUGCAAGACAGAUGUGAAAUCCCCGGGCUUAACCUGGGAACUGCAUUUGUGACUGCAAGGCUGGAGUACGGUAGAGGGGGAUGGAAUUCCGCGUGUAGCAGUGAAAUGCGUAGAUAUGCGGAGGAACACCGAUGGCGAAGGCAAUCCCCUGGACCUGUACUGACGCUCAUGCACGAAAGCGUGGGGAGCAAACAGG
Molecule: ribosomal RNA, 253 nt
Filed under: uncultured bacterium
Lineage: Bacteria
Description: partial 16S ribosomal RNA
Rfam family: Bacterial small subunit ribosomal RNA
Source: RNAcentral